This 489-nucleotide ribosomal RNA is filed under the name uncultured bacterium. RNAcentral's name for it is "bacterial SSU rRNA". It matches the Rfam family "Bacterial small subunit ribosomal RNA", at positions 29 to 507 of the family's 1533-position model. The record is from RNAcentral.
AUGAACGCUAGCUACAGGCUUAACACGUGCAAGUCGAGGGGCAGCAUGGUCUUAGCUUGCUAAGGCCGAUGGCGACCGGCGCACGGGUGAGUAACACGUAUCCAACCUGCCGUCUACUCUUGGACAGCCUUCUGAAAGGAAGAUUAAUACAAGAUGGCAUCAUGAGUCCGCAUGUUCACAUGAUUAAAGGUAUUCCGGUAGACGAUGGGGAUGCGUUCCAUUAGGUUGUUGGUGAGGUAACGGCUCACCAAGCCUUCGAUGGAUAGGGGUUCUGAGAGGAAGGUCCCCCACAUUGGAACUGAGACACGGUCCAAACUCCUACGGGAGGCAGCAGUGAGGAAUAUUGGUCAAUGGACGAGAGUCUGAACCAGCCAAGUAGCGUGCAGGAUGACGGCCCUAUGGGUUGUAAACUGCUUUUAUAAGGGAAUAAAGUGGGAGUCGUGACUCUUUUUGCAUGUACCUUAUGAAUAAGGACCGGCUAAUUCCGUG